Molecule: ribosomal RNA, 525 nt
Filed under: uncultured bacterium
Lineage: Bacteria
Description: bacterial SSU rRNA
Rfam family: Bacterial small subunit ribosomal RNA
Source: RNAcentral
ACAUCCAGAGAACUUUCCAGAGAUGGAUUGGUGCCUUCGGGAACUCUGAGACAGGUGCUGCAUGGCUGUCGUCAGCUCGUGUUGUGAAAUGUUGGGUUAAGUCCCGCAACGAGCGCAACCCUUAUCCUUUGUUGCCAGCGGUCCGGCCGGGAACUCAAAGGAGACUGCCAGUGAUAAACUGGAGGAAGGUGGGGAUGACGUCAAGUCAUCAUGGCCCUUACGAGUAGGGCUACACACGUGCUACAAUGGCGCAUACAAAGAGAAGCGACCUCGCGAGAGCAAGCGGACCUCAUAAAGUGCGUCGUAGUCCGGAUUGGAGUCCGCAACUCGACUCCAUGAAGUCGGAAUCGCUAGUAAUCGUGGAUCAGAAUGCCACGGUGAAUACGUUCCCGGGCCUUGUACACACCGCCCGUCACACCAUGGGAGUGGGUUGCAAAAGAAGUAGGUAGCUUAACCUUCGGGAGGGCGCUUACCACUUUGUGAUUCAUGACUGGGGUGAAGUCGUAACAAGGUAGGCGUAGUGCU